ACACGUAGGUGGCGAGCGUUGUUCGGAUUUAUUGGGCGUAAAGGGCGCGUAGGCGGAGGCUCAAGCUUGGUGUAAAAUACCCCGGCUCAACUGGGGAGAUGCGCUGAGAACUGAGCCACUAGAGUCCAGGAGGGGGAGUCGGAAUUCCAGGUGUAGGGGUGAAAUCUGUAGAUAUCUGGAAGAACACCGGUGGCGAAGGCGGGCUCCUGGCCAUGGACUGACGCUGAGGCGCGAAAGUGUGGGGAGCGAACAGGAUUAGAUACCCUGGUAGUCCACACCGUAAACGAUGUACACUAGGUGUCCGGGAGAAAUCCUGGGUACCGGAGCCAACGCAUUAAGUGUACCGCCUGGGGAGUAUGCCCGCAAGGGUGAAACUCAAAUGAAUUGACGGGG
This 393-nucleotide ribosomal RNA is filed under the name uncultured bacterium. RNAcentral's name for it is "partial 16S ribosomal RNA". It matches the Rfam family "Bacterial small subunit ribosomal RNA", at positions 523 to 918 of the family's 1533-position model. The record is from RNAcentral.